Grammomys surdaster is the source of this 618-nucleotide long non-coding RNA. RefSeq lists it as uncharacterized. The record is from RefSeq and is a predicted model, not a curated record. The transcript has 2 exons. NCBI's taxonomy places the organism in Eukaryota, Metazoa, Chordata, Mammalia, Rodentia, Muridae.
AGUGCUGAGGGAUUCCAGGAGCUCUGCCACAAGGGGACAACUCCAAGUGGGUGUCAAGCCGGGGGCUCCACAGGAACGCGAAGCUUCCCUGGCCUUCCCAUAUCUGCGGUCUGCUGUCAGAACCCCAAACCUGGCAGCAACAGGGGACAGAGCCACCAAGUCUAGAGAAGAUGACUCUCUAGGGAAGAAGACUCCAUAAUGGUGGGGGAAGCUGAACAAUCGCAUCUUCAACUGCAAAUGUGGAGAGAGAAAACCGGAAGUGGAGCAACAGAUUCUACAACCUCUCCUAACAACACUCCCAACCAGAAACCAAUACCUCAGUUCAAUACCUUAGCCUACAGGAGGUAAUUCUCAGCCCAACUACCACACUGCUGAUCCUAUAAGCAGUAAGGACUGCUGAGAGACACUCCCAACCAGCUGAGCUGCCUAGGAGAGACACUUAGAAUGGAGGAGCUGCCUUCAGGUUGUGCAGUGAGCUCCAACCUUCCAGCUUCCGUGAGCUGUCACUCUUGCUGGGAUAAACUUUCAGUAUCAUAACUGCCUUUGAAUCAUCUUUGCUCUGUAGGUAACUCCUCAUCCACACUUCUGUAACCCCAAUAAAUAUAUUGAUACCCCAAA